This is a long non-coding RNA of Dinoponera quadriceps, 1242 nucleotides long. RefSeq lists it as uncharacterized. The transcript is spliced from 2 exons. NCBI's taxonomy places the organism in Eukaryota, Metazoa, Arthropoda, Insecta, Hymenoptera, Formicidae. The record is from RefSeq and is a predicted model, not a curated record.
CUGCGCUGCGAAGGUAGAAAAGGGGCUUGUGACAGGCCUGUCUCAGCCAGUCGCGCGGAAGAAGGGACGAGGUGACGGAGAAAGAGGGAGAGGAAAGGAAAGAAAGAAAAAGAAAGAGAGAGCGGUUCCUUCAUGCGGUACCUGUCCGGCCGCUUCGGUUCAUAAGUGAUACUCAGUUCGCCGAGCGACGAGCAGCGGAAUAGAGUAGCCUGAAGGAGUGAGGACAAGAGAGAGAGAGAGAGAGAAGAGAGAGAGAGAGAGAGAGAGAGAGAGAGACGUAAAAUCGAGUCGAGUAAGGAAACGACGAUUGCCGCCGGACAAUUAAUUCCGAUUCUUGAGUACUCUAUCUCUCUCUUUCUUUUUUUUCUCCUUCACGCUUCUGUACGCCUUCUUUUCUCGCGACGCAUCGCACGAAAUUCGCCAUUCAGGAGGCCGUCGCCGAUCUGUCGCGUCAUAGGGAGUAGAUCGGCGACCGGACUCUUGCACGACGAUACGUUUCAUAUUGUAUUGUGUACGCGCUCUACAUGAUGUAUGGUAUCGAGCGCUGGUUGGCCGACGGAUUUGACGAAAGAUGGGACGAGGAAAGGCAGAGCUGUUAGUUAAUAUUAUUUUUGUAACGUCUUCGACGUGUCUGAAAUUUUGCAUUAUUAUUAUUAUAUCAUCCAGUCAACGUAGGCGUGUUAUAACGAAUCUAUCUGCGCACCAGCCAGUCACUGUUGAGGAGGAGGUUGAUCUACAACUGCUGUGUAGCCUUUCUCGCGUCAACCGUGAGAGCGAAACGGACGAAUUGUUUCCUUACUUUCGCGACUCUUCGAGACACGAAGUCAGAGAGACGAGAGCAAAAUUAUGUAUAACGAGGGACGAGCCCGUUUCAGCAAUUCGCGGAACAAUUCGGAAAAAUCUCGGCGGAUUCAUGAUGUGCGCAACCGGCGGUUGCUGCUUUUCGCGUGCGGUCGUUUCGCGCGCGUGAGAAAAAAGAAAUCCAUUCAAGACAUAUACCGCAGGUUUCCCGUUUUAUGAUGUUAAUCGAGUUCAGAUCUACCUCAUCUGAAACAGCAAAAGUAGUACGAGAUAAAAAGAAAAGAACAGUUAUAACAAACCGUAUAGCGAUUCUAAACAUUUUUCCUAGAGUUUAGGCGGUAGAUUUGUAUGCAGGGUGUAGAGAGGCUGUAGCUGACAAGGUACUAUAAAUUGUAAUACAAUAUUCUCCCCUCGAAUUAAAAACUGUAAUUUUAAGAUUAA